RNAcentral lists this ribosomal RNA (301 nucleotides) under uncultured bacterium. Its description in RNAcentral is "partial 16S ribosomal RNA". It matches the Rfam family "Bacterial small subunit ribosomal RNA", at positions 509 to 807 of the family's 1533-position model. The record is from RNAcentral.
CAGUCGCCGCGGGAAUACGAAGGGGGCUAGCGUUGUUCGGAAUUACUGGGCGUAAAGCGCACGUAGGCGGAUCGAUCAGUCAGGGGUGAAAUCCCAGAGCUCAACCCUGGAACUGCCUUUGAUACUGUCGAUCUGGAGUAUGGAAGAGGUGAGUGGAAUUCCGAGUGUAGAGGUGAAAUUCGUAGAUAUUCGGAGGAAUACCAGUGGCGAAGGCGGCUCACUGGUCCAUUACUGACGCUGAGGUGCGAAAGCGUGGGGAGCAAACAGGAUUAGAUACCCCUGUAGUCCCUGUCUCUUAUAC